RNAcentral lists this ribosomal RNA (409 nucleotides) under uncultured Prevotella sp. RNAcentral's name for it is "bacterial SSU rRNA". It matches the Rfam family "Bacterial small subunit ribosomal RNA", at positions 355 to 762 of the family's 1533-position model. Lineage: Bacteria; Pseudomonadati; Bacteroidota; Bacteroidia; Bacteroidales; Prevotellaceae. The record is from RNAcentral.
UGAGGAAUAUUGGUCAAUGGGCGGGAGCCUGAACCAGCCAAGUAGCGUGCAGGAUGACGGCCCUAUGGGUUGUAAACUGCUUUUGCGCGGGGAUAAAGUGCGCCACGUGUGGCUCAUUGCAGGUACCGCGCGAAUAAGGACCGGCUAAUUCCGUGCCAGCAGCCGCGGUAAUACGGAAGGUCCGGGCGUUAUCCGGAUUUAUGGGUUUAAAGGGAGCGUAGGCCGUCUGUUAAGCGUGUUGUGAAAUGUCGGGGCUCAACCUGGGCAUUGCAGCGCGAACUGGCAGACUUGAGUGCGCAGGAAGUAGGCGGAAUUCGUCGUGUAGCGGUGAAAUGCUUAGAUAUGACGAAGAACUCCGAUUGCGAAGGCAGCCUGCUGUAGCGUAACUGACGCUGAAGCUCGAAAGCGU